Molecule: ribosomal RNA, 476 nt
Filed under: uncultured bacterium
Lineage: Bacteria
Description: partial 16S ribosomal RNA
Rfam family: Bacterial small subunit ribosomal RNA
Source: RNAcentral
UUGAACGCUGGCGGCAUGCCUUACACAUGCAAGUCGAACGGUAACAGGUUAAGCUGACGAGUGGCGAACGGGUGAGUAAUGUAUCGGAACGUGCCCAGUCGUGGGGGAUAACUGCUCGAAAGAGCGGCUAAUACCGCAUACGACCUGAGGGUGAAGGCGGGGGAUCGCAAGACCUCGCGCGAUUGGAGCGGCCGAUAUCAGAUUAGGUAGUUGGUGAGGUAAAGGCUCACCAAGCCGACGAUCUGUAGCUGGUCUGAGAGGACGACCAGCCACACUGGGACUGAGACACGGCCCAGACUCCUACGGGAGGCAGCAGUGGGGAAUUUUGGACAAUGGGCGCAAGCCUGAUCCAGCCAUGCCGCGUGCGGGAAGAAGGCCUUCGGGUUGUAAACCGCUUUUGUCAGGGAAGAAAAGGUUCUGGCUAAUACCUGGGACUCAUGACGGUACCUGAAGAAUAAGCACCGGCUAACUACGUG